RNAcentral lists this ribosomal RNA (601 nucleotides) under uncultured bacterium. RNAcentral describes it as "bacterial SSU rRNA". It matches the Rfam family "Bacterial small subunit ribosomal RNA", at positions 720 to 1324 of the family's 1533-position model. The record is from RNAcentral.
GGCGGCCUGCUGGGCUUUAACUGACGCUGAGGCACGAAAGCGUGGGUAGCAAACAGGAUUAGAUACCCUGGUAGUCCACGCUGUAAACGAUGAUUACUAGGUGUGGGGGGACUGACCCCUUCCGUGCCGGAGUUAACACAAUAAGUAAUCCACCUGGGGAGUACGGCCGCAAGGUUGAAACUCAAAGGAAUUGACGGGGGCCCGCACAAGCAGUGGAGUAUGUGGUUUAAUUCGAAGCAACGCGAAGAACCUUACCAGGUCUUGACAUCCAACUAACGAAGUAGAGAUACAUCAGGUGCCCUUCGGGGAAAGUUGAGACAGGUGGUGCAUGGUUGUCGUCAGCUCGUGUCGUGAGAUGUUGGGUUAAGUCCCGCAACGAGCGCAACCCUUGCUAUUAGUUGCUACGCAAGAGCACUCUAAUAGGACUGCCGUUGACAAAACGGAGGAAGGUGGGGACGACGUCAAAUCAUCAUGCCCCUUAUGACUUGGGGGACACACGUACUACAAUGGCCAUCAACAGAGGGAAGCAAAACAGCGAUGUGGAGCAAACCCCUAAAAAUGGUCUCAGUUCAGAUUGCAGGCUGCAACCCGCCUGCAUGAA